GAUGAACGCUGGCGGUAUGCCUAACACAUGCAAGUCGUACGAGAGUUUUUUACUCAAGUGGCGGACGGGUGAGUAACACGUGAGAAUUUGCCUUUAGGAGAGGGAUAACAAUUGGAAACGAUUGCUAAUACCUCAUAUGCUUGAGAGUGAAAUAGAUUUAUCUGCCUAAAGAAAAGCUCGCGGCUGAUUAGCUAGUUGGUAAGGUAAUGGCUUACCAAGGCGACGAUCAGUAUCUGGUUUGAGAGGAUGAUCAGCCACACUGGAACUGAGACACGGUCCAGACUUCUACGGAAGGCAGCAGUGGGGAAUUUUCCGCAAUGGGCGAAAGCCUGACGGAGCAAUACCGCGUGAAGGAUGAAUGCCUGUGGGUUGUAAACUUCUUUUAUUAGGGAAGAAGAUAUGACGGUACCUAAUGAAUAAGCAUCGGCUAACUCCGUGCCAGCAGCCGCGGUAAUACGGGGGAUGCAAGCGUUAUCCGGAAUUAUUGGGCGUAAAGAGUCUGUAGGUUGUUCAGAAAGUCUGUUGUUAAAGAUUAGAGCUCAACUCUAAAAAAGCAAUAGAAACUACUAAACUAGAGUAUGGUAGAGGCAAAGGGAAUUCCCAGUGUAGCGGUGAAAUGCGUAGAUAUUGGGAAGAACACCAGAAGCGAAGGCGCUCUGCUGGGCCAUUACUGACACUCAGAGACGAAAGCUAGGGGAGCAAAUGGGAUUAGAUACCCCAGUAGUCCUAGCUGUAAACGAUGGAUACUAGAUGUUGUGCGUAUCGAUCCGUGCAGUAUCGUAGCUAACGCGUUAAGUAUC
This 800-nucleotide ribosomal RNA is filed under the name uncultured cyanobacterium. RNAcentral's name for it is "bacterial SSU rRNA". It matches the Rfam family "Bacterial small subunit ribosomal RNA", at positions 28 to 868 of the family's 1533-position model. Lineage: Bacteria; Bacillati; Cyanobacteriota. The record is from RNAcentral.